Molecule: long non-coding RNA, 159 nt
Organism: Hibiscus syriacus
Lineage: Eukaryota; Viridiplantae; Streptophyta; Magnoliopsida; Malvales; Malvaceae
Exons: 2
Source: RefSeq, a predicted model, not a curated record
UGCUUGCCGUUGCGGAAGAUGCAGAAAACCCAGAACGAAAUCGGACUGUCACAAGCAAUGUUACUUAUGGCCUGUUCUCCUUGCUAUAAUCUUCACAAUCCUUGCACAAGUUGCCUCAGGUUUAGCUCUUGGAGGGACAGUUAGAUUCCAUUCUGAAGC